GCCCGCCUAGCUCAAUCGGAUAGAGCGUCAGACUCUUACUAGGGGGUGAUCUGAAGGCUGCGAGUUCGACCCUCGCGGUGGGCU
Molecule: transfer RNA, 84 nt
Filed under: Trametes coccinea BRFM310
Lineage: Eukaryota; Fungi; Basidiomycota; Agaricomycetes; Polyporales; Polyporaceae
Description: Trametes coccinea (strain BRFM310) tRNA
Rfam family: tRNA
About the family: Transfer RNA (tRNA) molecules are approximately 80 nucleotides in length. Their secondary structure includes four short double-helical elements and three loops (D, anti-codon, and T loops).
Source: Rfam by way of RNAcentral